Molecule: ribosomal RNA, 492 nt
Filed under: uncultured bacterium
Lineage: Bacteria
Description: partial 16S ribosomal RNA
Rfam family: Bacterial small subunit ribosomal RNA
Source: RNAcentral
AGUGAACGCUGGCGGUAUGCCUAACACAUGCAAGUCGAACGACAGCACCGUAAGAGCUUGCUCUUACGUGUGUCGAGUGGCGGACGGGUGAGGAAUACAUCGGAAUCUACUUUUUCGUGGGUGAUAACGUAGGGAAACUUACGCUAAUACCGCAUACGACCUACGUGUGAAAGCAGGGGUUCUUUGGACCUGUCGCGAGUGAAUGAGCCGAUGUCGGAUUAGCUAGUUGGCGGGGUAAAGGCCCACCAAGGCGACGAUCCGUAUCUGGUCUGACAGCAUGAUCAGCCACACUGGAACUGAGACACGGUACAGACUCCUACGGGAGGCAGCAGUGGGGAAUAUUGGGCAAUGGGCGCAAGCCUGAUCCAGCCAUACCGCGUGAGUGAAGAAGGACUUCGGGUUGUAAAGCCCUGUUGUUGGGAAAGAAAAGCAGCAGGUUAAUACCCCGCUGUUCUGACGGUACCCAAAGAAUAAGCACCGGCUAACUUCGUG